GAUGAACGCUGGCGGCGUGCCUAAUACAUGCAAGUCGAGCGAACAGACCAGGAGCUUGCUCCUCUGACGUUAGCGGCGGACGGGUGAGUAACACGUGGAUAACCUACCUAUAAGACUGGGAUAACUUCGGGAAACCGGAGCUAAUACCGGAUAAUAUAUUGAACCGCAUGGUUCAAUAGUGAAAGACGGUUUUGCUGUCACUUAUAGAUGGAUCCGCGCCGCAUUAGCUAGUUGGUAAGGUAACGGCUUACCAAGGCAACGAUGCGUAGCCGACCUGAGAGGGUGAUCGGCCACACUGGAACUGAGACACGGUCCAGACUCCUACGGGAGGCAGCAGUAGGGAAUCUUCCGCAAUGGGCGAAAGCCUGACGGAGCAACGCCGCGUGAGUGAUGAAGGUCUUCGGAUCGUAAAACUCUGUUAUUAGGGAAGAACAAAUGUGUAAGUAACUAUGCACGUCUUGACGGCACCUAAUCAGAAAGCCACGGCUAACUACGUG
This 497-nucleotide ribosomal RNA is filed under the name uncultured bacterium. Its description in RNAcentral is "partial 16S ribosomal RNA". It matches the Rfam family "Bacterial small subunit ribosomal RNA", at positions 28 to 507 of the family's 1533-position model. The record is from RNAcentral.